UACGGGGGGUGCAAACGUUGUUCUGAAUCACUGGGCGUAAAGAGCGCGUAGGCGGCCUUGUAAGUGGGGUGUGAAAUCCCCCGGCUCAACCGGGGAACUGCAUCCCAUACUGCAUGGCUUGAGGGCAGCAGAGGAAACGGGAAUUCCCGGUGUAGCGGUGAAAUGCGUAGAGAUCCGGAGGAACCCCAGAGGCGAAGGCGGCGUCCUGGCUCGCAUCUGACGCUCAGACACGACAGCAUGGGGAGCGAACGGG
This 253-nucleotide ribosomal RNA is filed under the name uncultured bacterium. RNAcentral describes it as "partial 16S ribosomal RNA". It matches the Rfam family "Bacterial small subunit ribosomal RNA", at positions 524 to 776 of the family's 1533-position model. The record is from RNAcentral.